CAGCUCAUGACAAAUACAGACAAAGUGGGUCACUUUGAGCUGGUGCAAGUUACAGAAUCAUCAAGCUCUGUAGGAGUCGACUGGUUUCAGGAGAGCACUCAGCAUAAUCCUAGAUGACGAUAUUGGAGAAUGAUCAAGAAAUUGGCUUCGGUAUCCAGAUACAAAGACAACAGACCACUUCAGCCAUGGAUUAAGAGCAUUAGCAAUCAUCUGUGGUUUUCAUGUUCAUCUUGUGGAGGUGACCCGGAUUUUUUAUCAGGUAAGCUUGAAGUGUUCCAUUCACUGCUCCUGAAGUACUGCCCAAAAAGAAUACACUUCCAUUACACAUCAAUGCUUGCACGUACCCAGGUGGCAGUGCUUGACCACAAUGAGAAUGUUCACAGACAGCAGGCCAGAACCAACACUGGUAAGUUUGCUAUACAAUACAUCACUGAUUGUAAUUUAAUAUUUCAGUACAAAUAUAAAAAAUUUUAUUUAUUUUUUGGUAGAUACGCCACGGUUCAGUGUAGUGUUCCCCAAGCACUCUAAACAGUGGGUGGCCAGAAAACUGUACGAGUCCCCAACUCAAAAUUUCAGAGAUGAUCUUGUACGUUGAGUAUUUGAGAGGCGCAUGGACAGCACUAUUAUUUACAAGGACUCUUCUUCACCUUUGGUAAUAUAAUCUGUCCCAAAAAACAUAUUGCAGCAGACCAAACCAUCUAAGGAAGACACAGUCGCAAAGCAUUUGUCACAAUUCUCAAAGUAGUUUUUUACAGACCAACAACAGUGUAGGUUAACUUUACGAAGUGACGCUAAUAAGUUCCACAUUGCAUGGUGGUUUUCUUUAGGAGUGUGUGUGUGUAUGUUUGACAUUGCCUGUUACAGUAGUAUCCAAAAGUCAAUAUAUCUGUUAAAUAACUAAAUGAGG
This 907-nucleotide long non-coding RNA is filed under the name Sinocyclocheilus grahami. RNAcentral describes it as "lncRNA (ENSSGRG00000029212.1)". Lineage: Eukaryota; Metazoa; Chordata; Actinopteri; Cypriniformes; Cyprinidae. The record is from RNAcentral.